This 257-nucleotide ribosomal RNA is filed under the name uncultured bacterium. RNAcentral's name for it is "partial 16S ribosomal RNA". It matches the Rfam family "Bacterial small subunit ribosomal RNA", at positions 524 to 776 of the family's 1533-position model. The record is from RNAcentral.
UACGAAGGGGGCGAGCGUUGUUCGGAAUUACUGGGCGUAAAGGGCGCGUAGGCGGCCGAUCAAGUCAGAUGUGAAAGUCCUGGGCUUAACCCUGGGGACUGCAUUUGAUACUGAUUGGCUUGAAUGCAGGAGAGGAUAGCGGAAUUCCCAGUGUAGAGGUGAAAUUCGUAGAUAUUGGGAAGAACACCGGUGGCGAAGGCGGCUAUCUGGACUGUGAUUGACGCUGGAGGCGACGAAAGCCGUGGGGAGCAAACAGG